Long non-coding RNA from Esox lucius (northern pike), 997 nucleotides. RefSeq lists it as uncharacterized. The transcript is spliced from 4 exons. Lineage: Eukaryota; Metazoa; Chordata; Actinopteri; Esociformes; Esocidae. The record is from RefSeq and is a predicted model, not a curated record.
AGGCAACAGGAAAGUUUGAGACUGAACAUCCCGUAUUGCUAUAGUAAGCACGCCUGUGAAAACUGAAAGCUAUUGCUUUUGUGCUGUCUUGUUCGUGGCAGGCUUAUUACAGCCUGUCUGACAUCAAUCACCAUGAAUUAUUCCACUGUAACAGACAUGAGUCCUACAACAGCGCUUCCUACUCAAACCAAUGACUCUGUCAUUAUUGGAGUUGUCAUCGUGGUUGUACUGCUAACGCUAGGUGUGCUGGGUUUCCUUCUGUACCGGUACUUUUGCCACAAUAAGGGUGCCUACAGAACCACAGGAGAACCUGCCCCAGGGGAGGACCCUGAUCAGGCCCACAGUGACACUUCAACAGAAGAAAAGAAAGAGUACUUCAUUUGAACAGAAUUGAAGGAUGAGAGGGAGGAACGUGAGCAGAACUGUGGGUGGGUUUUAACAAAAAUAUUCUGUCGGACUGACAGAAAAUGGGGAAAAUGACGACCAUCUAUCAUAUGUCUGUGGACUUGGAAGACCUCAUGAAACACUAUCGGUUAUAGCAGAUAAGCUGGGCAUGAGAUAAGACAAAUUGGUAAGAAGGGAGUAUGCAAAUUGAUAGAUGACAGGUAAGAGCUGUGUUUAACCACCACUGGUUGCAGAGAGGACAUCAUCAGUUUGUUGGUUCCAUCACAUAAAAAUGCCCUGACCUGUUUCAUCACAUCAUUCAAUUAGUCUCUGGAAACUCAGAAUAAAAAAAAAAUAUAUAUUUAAUGAGUAUCUAUCUGGGGCAAAAUGGGGAAUUGUGUUGAAUUGACCAAAUGGUUAAUACUAUAAGGAUUAUAUGGCAGCUUUUAUGUGAGCUAAACACUUUUUGUAACUUACUAUUACAAAUAGAAAACAUUUUGUGUUUGUAUGUUAUUGAAGUACUGUUUCUGCCAAUGUAGUAACUGUCAUGACUGACCUCAAUUUGAGAUGGCAGGUCAGUAAUGGCAAUAAAACGGAUUGUCUUUACAGCUAU